Molecule: non-coding RNA, 46 nt
Organism: Schistosoma mattheei
Lineage: Eukaryota; Metazoa; Platyhelminthes; Trematoda; Strigeidida; Schistosomatidae
Source: Rfam
UCACUACUGAGGAGUCCCAUACUAGGACGAAACGGCCGUCCAGUGC